GACAGAGGCCUCGAGCGUUAGGCGGAAUCACUGGGCUUAAAGCGUGUGUAGGCGGGCCCGUAAGUGUCUUGUGAAAUCCCACGGCUCAACCGUGGAACUGCUGGGCAUACUGCGGGUCUUGGGCCAACUAGGGGCAGCCGGAACAAGCGGUGGAGCGGUGAAAUGCGUAGAUAUCGCUUGGAACGCCAACGGUGAAAACAGGUUGCUGGGGGUGUGCUGACGCUGAGACACGAAAGCCAGGGGAGCGAACGGG
Molecule: ribosomal RNA, 253 nt
Filed under: uncultured bacterium
Lineage: Bacteria
Description: partial 16S ribosomal RNA
Rfam family: Bacterial small subunit ribosomal RNA
Source: RNAcentral